AGGACGAACGCUGGCGGCGUGCUUAACACAUGCAAGUCGAGCGGAAAGGCCCUUCGGGGUACUCGAGCGGCGAACGGGUGAGUAACACGUGAGCAAUCUGCCCUUAGCUUCGGGAUAGCUCCGGGAAACCGGAAUUAAUACCGAAUACGACCUCGGCCGACAUCGGCUUUGGUGGAAAGUUUUUCGGCUAGGGAUGAACUCGCGGCCUAUCAGCUUGUUGGUGGGGUAAUGGCCUACCAAGGCGACGACGGGUAGCCGGCCUGAGAGGGCGACCGGCCACACUGGGACUGAGACACGGCCCAGACUCCUACGGGAGGCAGCAGUGGGGAAUAUUGCGCAAUGGGCGAAAGCCUGACGCAGCGACGCCGCGUGGGGGAUGAAGGCCUUCGGGUUGUAAACCCCUUUCAGCAGGGACGAAGCGAAAGUGACGGUACCUGCAGAAGAAGCGCCGGCUAACUACGCGCCAGCAGCCGC
Molecule: ribosomal RNA, 474 nt
Filed under: uncultured bacterium
Lineage: Bacteria
Description: SSU rRNA
Rfam family: Bacterial small subunit ribosomal RNA
Source: RNAcentral